Molecule: ribosomal RNA, 1121 nt
Filed under: human gut metagenome
Description: bacterial LSU rRNA
Rfam family: Bacterial large subunit ribosomal RNA
Source: RNAcentral
ACAUUCAAAGAGUGCGUAAUAGCUCACUAGUCGAGAGGUCCUGCGCCGAAAAUGUCCGGGGCUAAAACACACUGCCGAAGCUUUGGAAUUGAGAAUUCAAUUGGUAGAGGAGCAUUCUUAAAGGGACGAAGCAGUACCGUAAGGAGCUGUGGACUUUUAAGAAGAGAGAAUGCCGGAAUGAGUAGCGAGAGGAAGGUGGGAAUCCUUCCGGCCGAAUAUCUAAGGUUUCCAGAGUAAAGCUGAUCUGCUCUGGGUAAGUCGGGGCCUAAGGCGAGGUCGAAAGACGUAGUCGAUGGAUAACAGGUUGAAAUUCCUGUACUAUCCUGUAACAGAACUGUGGGGACACAGGCAGAGAGCGUGAGCCGGGAAUGGAAAGACCGGUACAAGCGAGGUAGGAGAAGAGUUGGCAAAUCCGCUCUUUAAUCUGAAGACGUGAUGUGGACUGAAAAUAAGUAGGGAAGCACGUGAGCUGACUGUCAAGAAAAGCCGCUAUUGUUUGCAGGAUACCCGUACCGUAAACCGACACAGGUGGAUGAGGAGAGAAUCCUAAGGCCGACGGGAGAAGCAUUGUUAAGGAACUCGGCAAAAUGACUCCGUAACUUCGGGAGAAGGAGUGCCAUGCGAAUGGCCGCAGAGAAUUGGCCCAAGCAACUGUUUAGCAAAAACACAGGUCUAUGCAAAACCGAAAGGUGAGGUAUAUGGGCUGACGCCUGCCCGGUGCUGGAAGGUUAAGGGGAGAGGUUAGCGCAAGCGAAGCUUUGAACUUAAGCCCCAGUAAACGGCGGCCGUAACUAUAACGGUCCUAAGGUAGCGAAAUUCCUUGUCGGGUAAGUUCCGACCCGCACGAAAGGCGUAAUGAUUUGGGCACUGUCUCAACAAUGCACCCGGUGAAAUUGAAAUACCAGUGAAGAUGCUGGUUACCUGCGCCAGGACGGAAAGACCCCAUGGAGCUUUACUCCAGCUUGAUACUGGGAUUCGGUAUUGCAUGUACAGGAUAGGUGGGAGGCUAGGAAAUGGUAACGCCAGUUGCCAUGGAGCCGCUGUUGGGAUACCACCCUUGCAGUACUGGGUUUCUAACCAGCAGCCGUGAUCCGGCUGGGGGACAAUGUCAGGUGGGGAGU